This 274-nucleotide ribosomal RNA is filed under the name uncultured bacterium. RNAcentral's name for it is "partial 16S ribosomal RNA". It matches the Rfam family "Bacterial small subunit ribosomal RNA", at positions 85 to 354 of the family's 1533-position model. The record is from RNAcentral.
CCGCCGGCGACCGGCGCACGGGUGAGUAACACGUAUGCAACCUGGCCGUGACAGAUGGAUAACCGGGAGAAAUCCCGCCUAAUACAACAUAAUGCCGGGAGGGGACAUCCCCUGCCGGCCAAAGGGGGCGACCCCGGUCACGGAUGGGCAUGCGGCGCAUUAGGUAGUUGGUGGGGGCAACGGCCCACCAAGCCGACGAUGCGUAGGGGUUCUGAGAGGAAGGUCCCCCACAUUGGAACUGAGACACGGUCCAAACUCCUACGGAAGGCAGCAG